This 544-nucleotide ribosomal RNA is filed under the name Xenograpsus testudinatus. Its description in RNAcentral is "partial 16S ribosomal RNA". It matches the Rfam family "Bacterial large subunit ribosomal RNA", at positions 1829 to 2625 of the family's 2925-position model. Lineage: Eukaryota; Metazoa; Arthropoda; Malacostraca; Decapoda; Xenograpsidae. The record is from RNAcentral.
CUCUGUUUGAAGGUAUAAAGAGUAUAACCUGCUCACUGAUAAAAGUUUAAGAGCCGCAGUAUUUUGACUGUGCAAAGGUAGCAUAAUCGUUUGUUUUUUAAUUGGAAUCUUGUAUGAAUGGUUGGACAAGAGAAAAACUGUCUUUAUAAGAAAAAUUGAAUUUAACUUUUAGAUGAAAAGGUCUAAAUAAAUUAAAGGGACGAUAAGACCCUAUAAAGCUUAAUAUAAAAAGUUAGUUAAUUAAAUUUUAUUAAAAUAAAAAUGAAUUAAUUUAAUAUAUUUUGUUGGGGCGACAGAGGUAAAAUUAUUAUUAACUACUUAAAUAAGAUUCAAAUAUAAGUGUAAUUUUAAAAGAUCCUAGUUAAAGAUUUAAAGUUUAAGUUACUUUAGGGAUAACAGCGUUAUUUUUUUUGAGAGUACUUAUCGAGAAAAAAGUUUGCGACCUCGAUGUUGAAUUAAAAUAUCUUUAUAAUUGCAGAAGUUAUAAAAGAAGGUCUGUUCGACCUUUAAAUUUUUACAUGAUUUGAGUUCAGACCGGCGUGAG